CCUGCCCCUGACUGGAGGAUAGCCUCUCGAAAGAGAGAUUAAUAUUCCAUAACAUAUAUGAAGAGCAUUCUUUGUAUAUCAAAGCUCCGGCGGUCAGGGAUGGGCAUGCGGCUGAUUAGGUAGUUGGUGGGGUAAUGGCUCACCAAGCCGACGAUCAGUAGGGGGUCUGAGAGGAUGUCCCCCCACACUGGUACUGAGACACGGACCAG
Molecule: ribosomal RNA, 209 nt
Filed under: uncultured bacterium
Lineage: Bacteria
Description: partial 16S ribosomal RNA
Rfam family: Bacterial small subunit ribosomal RNA
Source: RNAcentral